AGUGGGACCUUGAAGGUUUGUAGAUGAUAAUCUCACCACAGCAAGGUUCUGCCCAACUCAAACCUUUAAACUUGCAUAUACUGUAUUUAAAGUUUUGAGUCCCACAGCUGCAAAAUUGCAUUUGGGCUGAUGUUUCAUGGUACCGGUCAUAUCCAAAAACUUAUAGCGCUGAAGCUGGAGCCACAGCUGAAAUAUAUUGUGGCUCUGGAGCUGGUGCUGGAGCCUAACCUAUUUCAAGCCAGCUCCCCAGCCCUUAUGAUUGGCAUUGUUCUUGCCUUCUUUUCCCAUAAUCUUUUUCACUUCUAUUUCAAGUUCUCUGUAUUUCAUUGUCUUUUCAAGUUCUUUAUCAUUUAUUCUUGCAUCAUCAGG
This 369-nucleotide long non-coding RNA is filed under the name Androctonus crassicauda. Lineage: Eukaryota; Metazoa; Arthropoda; Arachnida; Scorpiones; Buthidae. The record is from RNAcentral.